Molecule: ribosomal RNA, 257 nt
Filed under: uncultured bacterium
Lineage: Bacteria
Description: partial 16S ribosomal RNA
Rfam family: Bacterial small subunit ribosomal RNA
Source: RNAcentral
UACGUAGGGUGCGAGCGUUGUCCGGAAUUACUGGGCGUAAAGAGCUCGUAGGCGGUCUGUCGCGUCUGCUGUGAAAACUCAGGGCUUAACCCUGAGCUUGCAGUGGGUACGGGCAGACUAGAGUGCGGUAGGGGAGACUGGAAUUCCUGGUGUAGCGGUGAAAUGCGCAGAUAUCAGGAGGAACACCGGUGGCGAAGGCGGGUCUCUGGGCCGUAACUGACGCUGGAGGAGCGGAAAAGCAUGGGGGAGCGAACAGG